RNAcentral lists this ribosomal RNA (253 nucleotides) under uncultured bacterium. Its description in RNAcentral is "partial 16S ribosomal RNA". It matches the Rfam family "Bacterial small subunit ribosomal RNA", at positions 524 to 776 of the family's 1533-position model. The record is from RNAcentral.
GACGAACCUUGCUAACGUUAUUCGGAAUUAUUGGGCGUAAAGAGCUCGUAGGCGGUUUGUCGCGUCUGCUGUGAAAUCCCGAGGCUCAACCUCGGGUCUGCAGUGGGUACGGGCAGACUGGAGUGCGGUAGGGGAGAAUGGAAUUCCUGGUGUAGCGGUGAAAUGCGCAGAUAUCAGGAAGAACACCUAUGGCGAAGGCAGCUCUCUGGGACGGUACUGACGCUGAGACGCGAAAGCGUGGGGAGCGAACAGG